GGGCGAAUGGUUUAGUGGUAUAAUACUCCCUUAGCAUGAUUCGUUCAACCAACGAUGUCUGAUCUGGGAGUGGUCCAGGGUUCGAUUCCCUGUUCGUCCA
Transfer RNA from Fusarium graminearum, 100 nucleotides. It matches the Rfam family "tRNA". Rfam says of the family: Transfer RNA (tRNA) molecules are approximately 80 nucleotides in length. Their secondary structure includes four short double-helical elements and three loops (D, anti-codon, and T loops). Further hydrogen bonds mediate the characteristic L-shaped molecular structure. tRNAs have two regions of fundamental functional importance: the anti-codon, which is responsible for specific mRNA codon recognition, and the 3' end, to which the tRNAs corresponding amino acid is attached (by aminoacyl-tRNA synthetases). tRNAs cope with the degeneracy of the genetic code in two manners: having more than one tRNA (with a specific anti-codon) for a particular amino acid; and 'wobble' base-pairing, i.e. permitting non-standard base-pairing at the 3rd anti-codon position. NCBI's taxonomy places the organism in Eukaryota, Fungi, Ascomycota, Sordariomycetes, Hypocreales, Nectriaceae. The record is from Rfam.